GACGAACGCUGGCGGCGUGCUUAACACAUGCAAGUCGAACGGUAAGGCCCUUCGGGGUACACGAGUGGCGAACGGGUGAGUAUCACGUGGGUGAUCUGCCCUGCACUUCGGGAUAAGCCUGGGAAACUGGGUCUAAUACCGGAUAGGACCACUGCCUGCAUGGGUGGUGGUGGAAAGCUUUUGCGGUGUGGGAUGGGCCCGCGGCCUAUCAGCUUGUUGGUGGGGUGAUGCCUACCAAGGCGACGACGGGUAGCCGGCCUGAGAGGGUGACCGGCCACACUGGGACUGAGAUACGGCCCAGACUCCUACGGGAGGCAGCAGUGGGAAUAUUGCACAAUGGGCGCAAGCCUGAUGCAGCGACGCCGCGUGAGGGGUGACGGCCUUCGGGUUGUAAACCUCUUUCAGCACCGACGAAGCGCAAGUGACGGUAGGUGCAGAAGAAGGACCGGCCAACUACGUGCCAGCAGCCGCCGUAA
Molecule: ribosomal RNA, 476 nt
Filed under: uncultured bacterium
Lineage: Bacteria
Description: partial 16S ribosomal RNA
Rfam family: Bacterial small subunit ribosomal RNA
Source: RNAcentral